CGGGAGGAGCAAGCGUUGUUCGGAUUUACUGGGCGUAAAGGGCGCGUAAGCGGCCACCGCAAGUCGACUGUGAAAUCUCUGGGCUUAACUCAGAACGGUCAGCCGAUACUGCGGGGCUAGAGUGCAGAAGGGGCAACUGGAAUUCUCGGUGUAGCGGUGAAAUGCGUAGAUAUCGAGAGGAACACCUGCGGCGAAGGCGGGUUGCUGGGCUGACACUGACGCUGAGGCGCGAAAGCUAGGGGAGCGAACGGGAUUAGAUACCCCGGUAGUCCUAGCCUUAAACGAUGAAUGCUUGGUGUCUGGGGUUUUAUAGUCCCCGGGUGCCGUCGCUAACGCUUUAAGCAUUCCGCCUGGGGAGUACGGUCGCAAGACUG
This 374-nucleotide ribosomal RNA is filed under the name uncultured organism. RNAcentral describes it as "bacterial SSU rRNA". It matches the Rfam family "Bacterial small subunit ribosomal RNA", at positions 526 to 896 of the family's 1533-position model. The record is from RNAcentral.